UCCUCACCAACAACAACAAAACUUCCAUCACCACCCAAGAGUUAAUACACCACCACCACAACAAAAAUCUCAAUCAUCACCAAUAUUUAAAACACCUCCAUCUAUUAAUCAAACCCAAAACUGCCAAAUAUGUGACAAGAAAGGUUACUUAACUAAACAAUGUCCAAACUACAAUAAUUUUUUAGCACUGAAUACCACAGUAACCAGUCUGCCACUACAUAUGCCUCCACCAGCUUCUCAUAUAUAGCCAACAUACACCACAGGUCAGCAACCUAAUUCAGCCUAUUCAGAAGACUAUCAACAAGCUUCACAAUCUGAGAUGGGAAUGUCAGCAGCUGCAACACUGGAGGACUCAUCAGCCUGGUGUCUGGAUUUAGGAGCAUCCAGCCACAUGCAUGGCACCAUAUUUAACUGCAUUCACUGCCUAUGAAACAGCUUCGGGUACACAAUAUGCUAUAGUUGGAAGUGGAGAUUAUUUACCUGUUAGAUAUAGAGGUAAAGUCACACUGAAAUUUAAGGAAAAAGAGUAUAAUUUAGAUGGAGUUCUAGGUGUACCAGGGUUAAAGAAAAAUCUCAUGUCCAUUCAAAAAUUAUCUAGAGAUCUCAAUUGUAUAAUUGUUUUUAAUGAUAAAAAUUUUAUGAUCAAGAACCAGGUCACUAUGGAGACAUUAUUUUCUGGCAAUAGCUCAGAACGCCUAUAUCACAUCUAUCCAGAUAGUAAAGCCUGCUAUGGAGUAAAAGCUACAAAAGAAGUAUGGCAUAACAGAUUAGGGCAUCCAUCAGAGGCUGUAUUAAAAAAAAUUGAACCCGAAUUGCAGGUUCAGAAUAAAGAAGGAAGUAAGACAGAUUUCUGUCCAGUUUGUGCUUUGGGGAAGUCACAUCAACAACCAUUUCCCAUAAGAGAAAGGAUAGCCUCUACACCAUUAAGGACAUUACAUAUAGAUCUGUGGGGCCCAAUUCCUAAAAUAUCUGUAGGAAAUUUCAGAUUUUAUGUAUCCAUAGUUGAUGAAUAUACAAGAUUUAUAUGGUUUUAUCCAAUGAACAAUAAAUCUGAUUUUUUCUCUAUUUUUGUCAAAUUUCAUGAUUUAGUAGAAAAUUAUUUGGAAGAGAAAAUAAAGGAAAUUCAAACAGAUCAAGGAGGGGGGAGUUCAUAAAUUCAAAAUUUAAAAGAUACCUAGAGACACAAGGAAUAAACCAAAAAAAAUCAUGCACAUAUACACUUCAACAACAUGGUUUGGUUGAAAGAAGGCAUAGACAAAUACUUGAAGUGGGGAGUUGGAUCAAACCUUGUUGUAACGGAAUUUGUGAAUGAGUCAUAGCUUUCUCUGAGUGCCCCUAAAGUGAUCAAAAUAACAUCGGACUUUUUCAGUCCCUCACCUGUUGCUGCCAACGCAUCUUUAAGGAUCGAAAUUUUUGUGAUAAAUUCCUCCAUGGUUAGACUUCUUUUCCUAACUGUUUGAAGUUGUAGGCGUAGAUGAAGCUACCUUGUCUGAGUACUGGAG
This 1502-nucleotide long non-coding RNA is filed under the name Zostera marina. Its description in RNAcentral is "long non-coding RNA (ZMAR_LNC002875)". The record is from RNAcentral. Lineage: Eukaryota; Viridiplantae; Streptophyta; Magnoliopsida; Alismatales; Zosteraceae.